Cryptomeria japonica (Japanese cedar) is the source of this 1048-nucleotide long non-coding RNA. RefSeq lists it as uncharacterized. The transcript is spliced from 2 exons. Lineage: Eukaryota; Viridiplantae; Streptophyta; Pinopsida; Cupressales; Cupressaceae. The record is from RefSeq and is a predicted model, not a curated record.
UUGCCCAAAAACCCCUUCAAAGAUGUUAAUCUAGAGAGAUUAAUAUUUCCGUGCACCUUCAGAAGAUGUUGUGUCCAGUGGGAAUGGAAUUAAUAUUGCCUGGGUAGAUUCAAUUCAGAACGUGCCCUAACGGCACUCAAAGGAGCGUGUCCACAGCACUCAAAUUACAGACCAAUGGCCGUUAAAAAAACAGUGACCGUUGAAAAAGCAGGAUUUCACUUCUUAUAAAUGAACAGUUUACUUGAGAAGCAGGACAGAUUUCUUGUUCUGUUUUCUUUUUGGUUUGAUUUGUCUCCCAUUGUAUGUUUUUGGCAUGGCCAUGCCUAUUUUUGAAUUUUGCUUUCCUGAAUUUUGGUAUUUCAUGUAUCUUUUUUUUUUUUCUGUGGGUCGUUAUUUUUUAAUGGGCAUGUAGUAUUCAGCAGCAAGAACUCUACAUUCUGGGGUGGCUGAUUGGAGAUGUGGCCAGAAAAUAUUUCCCUGGUCAUCUUUAUCGAGGCUACAGUUGCUAUGUUUACAGCUGCUAUGUUUUCCAAAGGCAAGCAGAGUGGCAGGAAGCCAUUGUUUCGUCUAGUGACUAAGCCAAUGAGCUCUACGGCAAGUUGAAUUCGAGGUUCUUGGUGUUGACCUCAAUCAAUUCUGCUAAUUGUCCGCAUGUUUUGUCGAAGGUGUCAGUGAUUUGCACGGUGCAUUUCCUCGAGUACUUGUUUUCCUUGUGCUUCUUCGCCAUCCAUUUCUUUAAUUGGAUAUUUUGUAUUCUCGCUCGUCUACUUUUUGUGUAGGGGCGGGCUUCCUCUGUUUCUUAUUCAGUCCAAGUUUUAUCUCCCUCGGUCUCCAUUUGGUCCUCAGUCUUCCUUGUUUGUCUCUGUCUGAUUUGUUCUAGUUCUGUUUCUGCCAUGAUGACACUACGUUUUGUGUGGCAAGUAUUUUGGCUCUUACUGAGGCUAUUUUGCAGGGGCUUGGCAACCUUGCUAUCCUAUUUGAUGGAUGCAUUAUGAUCAUAUUCUUCCCCUUUUAUUAACAGGACUGUUUUUGUUUUGGUUUUGGUUGA